RNAcentral lists this ribosomal RNA (600 nucleotides) under uncultured Acidobacteriota bacterium. RNAcentral describes it as "bacterial SSU rRNA". It matches the Rfam family "Bacterial small subunit ribosomal RNA", at positions 9 to 587 of the family's 1533-position model. Lineage: Bacteria; Pseudomonadati; Acidobacteriota. The record is from RNAcentral.
GAGUUUGAUCCUGGCUCAGAAUGAACGCUGGCGGCGUGCUUAACACAUGCAAGUCGAGCGAGAAAGCUCCCUUCGGGGGGUGAGUAAAGCGGCGAACGGGUGAGUAACACGUGGGCAACCUACCUCGGAGCGGGGGAUAACUUGGGGAAGGGGGAGCUAAUACCGCGUACGUCUCGAGGGCUUCGGCCCGAGAGGGAAAGCUGGCCUCUACAUGUAAGCUGGCACUCCGAGAGGGGCCCGCGCCCGAUUAGCUAGAUGGUGGGGUAACGGCCUACCAUGGCGACGAUCGGUAGCCGGCCUGAGAGGGCGAUCGGCCACACUGGGACUGAGACACGGCCCAGACUCCUACGGGAGGCAGCAGUGGGGAAUAUUGGACAAUGGGGGCAACCCUGAUCCAGCAACGCCGCGUGGAGGAAGAAGGCCUUCGGGUCGUAAACUCCUGUCAGGUGGGACGAAACAGCCGAGGUCAAUAGCCUCGGUUUCUGACGGUACCACCAGAGGAAGCCCCGGCUAACUCCGUGCCAGCAGCCGCGGUAAUACGGAGGGGGCAAGCGUUAUUCGGAAUUACUGGGCGUAAAGGGCGCGUAGCGGCCUCGCAAG